UCGUGGCGCGAAAACUAGGACAUGUGUGGUUGCUUCCUCUCAGCCUGUGCAUCUGUGUGUGUGGUGGUCUUCAUUUAGUGACAUUGCUGGUACUUGUAGUUCCACAGAACUACUGGGGAGAAAAAAGUUGUACAAGACCAGUGUGUAACUCCGCCCACAGGCCGCCACACAAGCCACGCCCCUCCCUGAAACUGCGAAUUCACCGGUAAAGGGAUGAAGAAUAUACUUCUUAACUCUAUAGUGGCCGUGUGUCCUCCGGGCAUGGGCAUCGGGAAGGCUGGGACCCUGCCGUGGCCUCUACUCAGGAAUGAAUUCAAGCAUUUCCAGAGGCUGACUAUGACGCCCACGGUUGAAGGGAAGCAAAAUGUAGUCAUUAUGGGCAGAAAAACCUGGUUCUCUAUUCCAGAGAAGAAUCGACCUUUAAAGGAAAGAAUAAACAUAGUUCUAAGUAGGGAGCUCAUGGAACCCCCAAAAGGAGCUCACUAUCUUGCCAAGAGUCUAGAUGAGGCUUUGGAACUGCUAGAUACUUCUGAGUUAAAAGACCGAUUUGAUCUAAUCUGGAUCAUUGGAGGAAGCUCACUAUAUAAGAACAGAGACUGCAGACUGUACGGCAGAGUGGACAAAUCUAGAUACAGAAUCGUCCACCAUAGAUUGGAUGUGGUCCUGGGAAACGGGAUCCUUAAUAAUCCCUCUAUUUUCCUAAGACAUGGAAGUUAUGGACAAGCCAGUCAACCAGAGACUAUUUCUAACCAGAAUCCUACAGGAAUUUGAAUGUGACACAUUUUUGCCUGAAAUUGAUCUCCUCCAGUUCUACAAACUUCUCCCAGAAUUUCCAGGGAUAUCAUCAGAAGUUCAGGAAGAAAAUGGUGUACAGUACAAGUUUGAAGUCUAUGAAAAAAUGACUGUCUAAGUAAACAUUUCUUUGUUGUAAAUUUUAUGAGUAAUAAAUAGUUUUCUAAUGUU
RNA transcript from Hyla sarda, 963 nucleotides. It is a transcript of the gene named dihydrofolate reductase, with no coding region annotated. NCBI's taxonomy places the organism in Eukaryota, Metazoa, Chordata, Amphibia, Anura, Hylidae. The record is from RefSeq and is a predicted model, not a curated record. The transcript has 7 exons.